Molecule: ribosomal RNA, 497 nt
Filed under: uncultured bacterium
Lineage: Bacteria
Description: partial 16S ribosomal RNA
Rfam family: Bacterial small subunit ribosomal RNA
Source: RNAcentral
GAUGAACGCUGGCGGCGUGCCUAAUACAUGCAAGUCGAGCGAACGGACGAGAAGCUUGCUUUUCUGAUGUUAGCGGCGGACGGGUGAGUAACACGUGGAUAACCUACCUAUAGGACUGGGAUAACUUCGGGAAACCGGAGCUAAUACCGGAUAAUAUUUUGAACCGCAUGGUUCAAAAGUGAAAGACGGUCUUGCUGUCACUUAUAGAUGGAUCCGCGCUGCAUUAGCUAGUUGGUAAGGUAACGGCUUACCAAGGCAACGAUGCAUAGCCGACCUGAGAGGGUGAUCGGCCACACUGGAACUGAGACACGGUCCAGACUCCUACGGGAGGCGGCAGUAGGGAAUCUUCCGCAAUGGGCGAAAGCCUGACGGAGCAACGCCGCGUGAGUGAUGAAGGUCUUCGGAUCGUAAAACUCUGUUAUUAGGGAAGAACAUAUGUGUAAGUAACUGUGCACAUCUUGACGGUACCUAAUCAGAAAGCCACGGCUAACUACGUG